Populus nigra (black poplar) is the source of this 1519-nucleotide long non-coding RNA. RefSeq lists it as uncharacterized. The record is from RefSeq and is a predicted model, not a curated record. Lineage: Eukaryota; Viridiplantae; Streptophyta; Magnoliopsida; Malpighiales; Salicaceae. The transcript is spliced from 2 exons.
UUUUGUUUCUCUAAAUCCUAACAAACACACAAACUCAGUUACCAAUUCCGUCAAUCGCAGGUUUCAAAUCUUCAAUCAUGGCCGUCAAAUCCGAGGAGAUCUCCCGUUCCAACGGUGAAUCUAGCUACUCCUCAGAAACGGAGAUUAAGAUCUAAUGCAGAUCUAGUGAUCCACUAGAGUCCGAUUUCUUCUCCUUUGAAGCGGAAAUCUCCUCGGAGAUGCGUUGAUUCGAGCCCCAACAAUCCUACUAAUGUGAGCUUUUAAUAGAUCUUAAUUUUACAAUUAUUUAAGUUAAAUGGGAAAGAAAUGGAAAUCUUGACCAGUGAAGAAAAAAAUGUCAAAUUAUCAAGAAAUAUCAUAUUCUGGUCCGGUUGAAUUUUUUAGCUUGAACCGGACCAUGAACACCCCUAAUAACUUUAUAGGAGAGGUGUGCUUUCUUUUCUUAAAUAAUGAUUACAAUUUACAUGCACAUCUAGCAGGUAUCCCCUGGUAUUGAACUUGUUACAUGGAUGCAGCUGAAUAAAUCUUACAUGGAGAUUUACAAAUCAACAAUCAUACCACCAGUUGGAAUUUUGAAAUUUUUGAAUAUGGGCGUACGUAGUAGUAGCUGACCAGGUAAAGCAAGAGAAACGCCUGUUCAGUUUUAGUUUGUUCCUCAGAAUUUUAUUUAGGCAAAGCGAAAACCAAUACAUAUGCUCAUAAGAAUGCGUGAAUAUCAUACAUUAAAUAGGUUAAAGCACAAGAUUCUUACUUAAUUGUUAGAUUCACCAACAAUGAAAUGAUAUUGAGAACAUUGAGCAGGGGCUUCUUAAACUAGGCCAGCCUCGUGCUGAUAAAUAAAUUAAAGAGAGUAACCUUAAAAGUAGACGAAGCAGAUAUCACAUUUGAAAAGAGAAGCUAUUUGUUUUUAUCAUCUUCUUAUGUGUUUAUUUGGUCAGGGAAUCCGGUUCUUCAGGAAUUGUCUUCGGUGAUGCAAAUACUUGACAAAAUCAGUUAUUGUCAGUGCCGGAGCAAGUUUCAUUCGUUUAGCUUUCUCACAUACUAAGGUAAAUACAUUGAUGGGAGCAUGCCACAGACAAAGGUAAAUACAUUGCAUGGACGCUAUUCUUUUUCCCGCCAAAAUGAGAGUUUCCAUUACAGAAAUGCCGCCAGGUGAAGGGCUGAUUCAGUGAAAAAUUAUACAUGGUACGUGACUUGAGUUAGUAAAAAGAUUGUGCUUCUGAUUCCCCACUCAAUAACAGAGGGAAAGCUGCAAAGCUUCUUCUUUUUUUCCGGGGGUGCAAAGCACGUAUUUCAUAUAAAAUAAACCCUAAAUUGAAGGGUGUAAUUAAAAAUAUUCUAUUUUAGGACUAAAUUGCAAAAACCUUUAAAGUUUGGGUGUGCCUUUGCCCACUGACGGUUAAAUGUAGUUCCUCCGAUGCAUCUUAAUAAGAACGCAGAUGCAUGGCAACUGUAUAUUUCUUUAUGGUAAAUGGAAAUAAAAAAUGCCAAUGAGGCGGCUUAAGUAAUUCCUCGAAGC